Molecule: long non-coding RNA, 4357 nt
Organism: Oryzias sinensis (Chinese medaka)
Lineage: Eukaryota; Metazoa; Chordata; Actinopteri; Beloniformes; Adrianichthyidae
Source: Ensembl
UAAGCGUUGAAGGUUGCAGACUCCUUGUCUAUUGCUGUCGCUUAAGAAGAUAUGUGUAUGACUUUUUACUUCUGCUUAAGUAAUUACAUUUUAAAACCUUUCUAUCUUAAGUAUAUGUUUUUAGAUGCUCUCUAUCUGCACAGGCCAUUUUAAUGCUUACUUCUAUUAUUUGAUGCUGUCCUCUUCCCGUUAAAUGUCAGUGAGUGCUGCUGACUAACGUGUGUAGGAAGAAUCAGUCACAGCCAAGUUAGCGGUCAAGCAGGCGGUUAAAGGCGGCGUAUUUGCUGCCACCUAGCGGUCAUGCGUGGCAUCGUGUUUCCUUGAGGAGGAGGCAACAACCAAAAUAAAUACCCACAUACCAUUCCAUCGCACCUGUUAAACCAAACCAACGGCUUCUGCAAAACCGUCAAUGGACGUCAGUGUGAUUUCUUUCCUUCUCCAACCACACCUUCAGGCUACAAGACCGGAGAGAGGACCUUUGGAGGCUGCUGAGAGAAAUUAAAAGCAGCAACAGUUGGACCCGUCCAUGCGCUGACGGUCGCGGAGGAUCCCUAGAUGGUGGCUCAAGCUUUUCUGUAACCUGGGAAGUCGCUGCGUUGCUCAUCAUGUACGCCCACAGGAGGCAGCCCAGCAUUGAAAUGCUAGAGUUAAUGGGAGUGGUGAGAGAAAAUGGCAGAGCAUCAAAAUAUGCUCCUCCUUCGGUAAGAUUUUUUUUUUAUAUCCAAUUUGUCAUUGUACAAAUAUUAGGGUGCCUCUAUACUCUGCACGAUUACUUGUUUGAGAAUUGCUUGCAUUGCUUUAUUAUUAUUGUUGCUUGUUUGCAUCAUAGUUCACCCCACUGUCUUGCGACUUUGUCCUGGUGGGCAAAAAAGUCCACAGCCUGAAACAAAGGGAUUAUAUACAUGAGCUGGAGAAAAAGAAUUUCAAAGUGAAGGUGGGUCCUAAACAACAAAACAAAACUUAUUUUUCUUUUUUUUUAGCAAAUGCAUUUUUUUAAUCAAGUAAUUCUUUCUUCUUUUAGGAAAUUGUAGAUGAUGACAUCAUUUUCUAUGGGGUACAAGCACCUGAGGAAAUAUUUCACAAAUACAGACAUCUGCUUAAUAAUGACCCUAACUGGGACUCAACUAUGUAUGUGGUGCCUCUCAGAAUAAGGUAAACAUACUCACUGGGCAUGGACACAUCUAUUAGAUAUCUCAAUCAUGGCUGUUUAAAUGUUUCCAGCUAUAGACAUGCAUUACUGUAUUUAUCUUCAUAGAGGCCAAUUGCACAUCGCUGUCUAGAUCUCUAGCAGACGACUUUCCCACAGAUAUUUUGUUGCGGUCCCAUCAUGCCUUGCACGUUGUAAACAAGCCAUUUGGGUUGUUUCUUCCCACCAGGAACAAGAUUUAUGUUAGAUAACUAAAAUGCAUUUAUGGUAGAAGUUUUCUGGACAUCUGAGACAACUCUGUUUUGUUACUCUAUGAAAGAUCUACCAGUAGUAUGGUGCAUACAGAGAUCUUCUACACAUCUACCUGUUGCCAUCUAAUCUUUGGAUAUUUUUAGAUGUCUAUUAAAAAACUUUUUUGAACAUUUACUUGAUAAAAUUCAAAAUGCAGUUUUACAUCCAUCUAAUCAUCUUCAAAACCUGCUGAAGCCCUUUUGGGGUCACAAGGUUGCUACUGUUGGGGAAAGGUGGAGUACACCCUGAAUAGGUGGCCAGCCUGUUGCAUCCUAUUUCUGUUGCUAUCUGUAUUGUUAUUUUAAAGCAGGGGUCUGCAAUAUUUGACGAUAAAAGAGCCACAUGAGUUAGUUUCUUACUGACCAAAACCCAGUGAGAGCCACAAAGUCCCGCUUCUGUUUUUAGACAAGCACAUUUCAUUUAUGUUUCCUUGGUCAUUAAGCCCCUCAUUUGUACAAUGUUGCUUUAGAAUAUCUAAAUAAUUAAGUAUAAAAUGUUAUAUGUGUUUUAUAUGCAACAAUUUUAACUUAUUUUAACAACAGCACAUACAAGUUCCUUUUGAAAUAAAAUACAUCCAAAUAAUUGUCAAAAAAGAUCCUCCAGCUGCAGCAGAUUUAAUUGAAAGGAAAUAAAACUGCUAGAAAAGCAAAGUCAAAGGGGUUUCUAUCAUUGUGACAUUGAUGUGCUGUUAUCCUUUUUCUUCUUUUACUAUCAAAUAUGAACAGGAUAAAACUUCUUUUUAAUCUAUACAUGUAAAUGCAAUUCUAUACUUUGCCUCUGAACAGCAGUUGUUGUGCAGCAAAAGAUAAGAAAAUGUGCUUUAAGGUUAUUCUAAUAAUAAACCACAACAGAUGAAACCUUUUACUAUAGCUUUGUUCAGUUAUAUGACAUUUUGAAAAUCUUAACAUAAAUAAAAAGACCUAUAAACUUAAAAAAAAUGAACCAAAACUACAAAACCUAUGUUUUAUUCCAAUAGUUAUCAUUUUUCUUUAAAGCCAAAGAGCCACAAUGGAGGGUUGCAGACUCCUGUUUUAGGGGGUUAAGUUUUGAUUUGUGGAAAAAUUAAGAUGUGCUGUUUGGAUUUUGGCACAAUGAUGAGGGCUCUUGCCUCACAGCAUGCAUGGGUUUUCCCACCGUCCAAAAACAUGCAUCAUCAAGUGGUUACUCUAAAAUUGUCCCUAGGUGUGAAUGUGAGUGUGCAUGGGCAUGUGACUUGAGGACUGGCAACCUAGCCAUUUUGUCCCUGCGAAAGGGACAAAACUGGUUUACAACAUGAAAAUAAAAUGAAUGAAUGUUUGGAUUCUAGUAAAAUAAUAUGAUGUUCACACAUUAAAUUGCACUUAGAUGUUAGAUUGUCAAUCUGAUUCAAGUUUCUGACCCCAUUAAACCUCAGGUAGAUAUUAGUUGAAAUUUUUGAUACUUCUUGGAAGGUAGAUUUUCUACACGGUGGGGUAGUGGUGAGUCUUGGUUGCCUUACAGUGAGAAGACACCAGUUCAAAUCCCAGCUGGGAAAUGUACAUGUGCAAGUUUUCUCCAGCUUCCUCCCAACUCUGUUUCAUAUGGAUUAAUUGGUAUCUUUAAUUUGCCCAUGUGUGAGUGUAUGGCCUUGUUGGGUGUACUCCACCUUUGUCCAGUAGUAGCUAGGAUGGCACCAACAACUCUGUGACCUCAAAAGGGAUUCAGAAUAUUCUGAAGGUGUAUAGAUCGAUGUAAAAUUGCAGUAUUUAUUAUAUAUCUAGGGUGAGUGUUUAAAAAUACACAAAGAUUAGAUGGGUAAAGGUGAUGUGUAGGAGGCCUCUUAAUGCAGAUAUCUUUCAGAACACUAUUGGUAAACUUUAAUACAGAAACAUAACAAGACUUGUCUAAGAUGUCCAGUGGACAUCCACAAUAGAUGUUUAUGAGUUAUCUAAUAGACAUAUUGUGCCCAGUGGGCAGAGCUUUUACAUUUUCUUAACACUCAAUCUCUGCUGUUUUCUCAAAGUUCUACAAGAGAAAAAAAUAAUGAUUUUAUUUACUCAAGAGUUCAUUGUUGAUUGAUGAUCGUUCAAUUAAAAAGAACAAAGCUCUUUAGGAAUCCACUGAAUUUGUGACAUUUAUCAUCCCAUCAGCUAUGAGUUCAGCUUUAUAAGUGAAGCCUGUCUGUGUUUCAGGUUAAUGAUAGUCCACUUCGUCUUGAAUCACACCGAAAGCAGAUCAGGAGGUGUGAUAGAACUAUUUCAAAUCCAAAUCCCUUGGUUUAAACUGUGUUCUAAAUGUCCUGUUAUCUAUUCUCUUCACAGAAAGUCUCCGGUGUCUUUUAAAUAAUAACGUUUUUGAGGCAAAGUUCUGCUUACACGAGGUAAAACUCAUUCUCUUUGCAGGAUGAUCAUUCUUGAAAACUAGAAAACAGUAUGCACGCUCUCCAAAACAGGUUUGGCUGGCCGAGACCGGAGCCUGAUAAAAGUUGGCCACAGAAAAACAUUUUAUAAACUUUGCAAAAAUGUCUGUAUUGAUUUAGCUAGUAUGAUUCCUUAAAAAGAGAGUUUUCACACAUUUUUUUACAAUCAAGUUUUGUUAAGAAAAUAUUUUACACAAAAAUUAAGAACAAAUAAGUGUCUAUUCUUAACACUUCUAAAACAACACAGUGGUAUUGCAAACAAUAAACUGUUGCCAAUCAAAAUAUUUGUUUUAGUAGCGGCAAUAAUAGUUAUUAGAACAGUGAGUCAUUCAGUACAUACAGUAGCUGGGCAUGGGUGACAGCAUGCAGGGAUACAUAUACUACCACACAAGCAUUAACAUCCUUGUCCUUCUGCUCUAUGAACACAUACAGAACCAAUUAAAUGUAUAUUCAAAUAUUAUUGUGAUAUCAGGUCAUACUAAUUUUGCACGCUCUCAGUUGUGUGAAAUCAGAUGAGGUAAUUUAUUUUAAAAAGACUGACA